GCAGCGGGCUGGUAUCCUUUGGGGUUUUACAGCCUUGCUGAAUUAUUCACCCGUGUCUUUUGCGUACUUCUUGUUUCCUUGGUGGGUUCGCCCACCAUAGGACAAACCAUUAAACCUUUUGUAAUGGCAAUCAGCGUCAGUAAAAAAAUUAAUAAUUACAACUUUUAACAACGGAUCUCUUGGUUCUGGCAUCGAUGAAGAACGCAGCGAAAUGCGAUAAGUAGUGUGAAUUGCAGAAUUCAGUGAAUCAUCGAAUCUUUGAACGCACAUUGCGCCCUUUGGUAUUCCAAAGGGCAUGCCUGUUCGAGCGUCAUUUGUACCCUCAAGCUUUGCUUGGUGUUGGGCGUCUUGUCUCCAGUUCGCUGGAGACUCGCCUUAAAGUAAUUGGCAGCCGGCCUACUGGUUUCGGAGCGCAGCACAAGUCGCGCUCUCUUCCAGCGAAGGUCAGCAUCCACAAAGCCUUUUUUCAACUUUUGACCUCGGAUCAGGUAGGGAUACCCGCUGAACUUAAGCAUAUCAAUA
RNAcentral lists this ribosomal RNA (522 nucleotides) under Alternaria alternata. RNAcentral describes it as "eukaryotic LSU rRNA". The stretch from base 160 to 313 matches the Rfam family "5.8S ribosomal RNA". The record is from RNAcentral. Lineage: Eukaryota; Fungi; Ascomycota; Dothideomycetes; Pleosporales; Pleosporaceae.